ACACUGUGGUAAAGCCUCAAAACACACUCCUAGAUUACCAGCCAAAGGAGUCAGAUUUUGGCCUCUCUUAUCCACUAAAAAGCGAUAUACCCAAUGGAAGUACAAAGCUUUCAAGGAUAAGAGAACGCAGAGGUUAUAUUGCUCCAGGUGGGUUUUCAAUCUGUCCAUCACCUCCAAAGCAGAUAUUUAUAGCUAUGGAAUGGUAUUCUUGGAGAUAGUAACUGGAAAAAGCCGAACAGCAGACAUACAAGUUAGAACACAGAUAACAUAGGUGAAAGAACAGAUGAAGGGAGCUACCGCCAUGGAUUUGAGGAUGGAAAAGAUUGUAACCCAAUGUAGAAGGAAAAUUAUGAAAAGAACCCAGAAAGUGGGUACAUGAAGAAAAAGAUGCAAUUACCCACCCUGAGACAAGUUAAGCUACUUCUGAAAGAUGAAAUUUAAGGAUAAGAAUAUGUUUAAUCCACCAUUUAAUAAUGAUGGAUGUUGAGAUUAUCAAUGCUGUAGAAUAAUCCAAUCCACUAUCCUAUGCCUAUCUCGUCAUAUUGCAUGCAUUACUAAUGAAAUCCUUGUUUUUUUAUAAAUAAUAACUACAAGAUGCAUACUUGACCAUUGAACUAUUAGUUUAAUGGUGAAGUUAUACCUGGUCAACUGCGCUGAUUUGUGCCCCCUCAUCCUGAGCAUAUAGCAGGUGGACACCACACGCACCUAUAACACGCAAGAUAUAAGCUGAAAUCAUAUCCCACGAAGACAUGAUUGGAUCUAACAAAACAGGGUCCAAGUUCAUCCGACGUGUUAGCCAAACCUCGCAAAGUGCAACUCACAACAUGGUGAUCGCCAUGAUUGGUUGUCAAAUUGCAUUUACAUACAACAUAAAUGUCACUGACAUCUGCAGAGCCUGUACAUUCUACAACAGCACACACAGCAAAACCCAAGAACUUGGGAUUACGCCAAUUAGACGGUAGCUUGAUAGUGAUAUGAGAACCUUUUUUCCGACAGCCAAACCAGUUUGGGAUUUCAUUUGCAGGCUGCAGCUGCUGUGUGCUGAAUCCUCCAUUGUGAAUCGUCCUCAAUGAUGUGCAGUGAAUUCUGAUUCAAUCUUGGACAGUUAAUAUAGCAAUACCUCUGAUUAUUUGGACAUUUUGGUAACAUUUUCUCCUUAAAUAAAGUCACUGAAGAUGAUAUUGUUUCAAGUGAAAUGCAACCCUUGGCAUUUAAGAGCCUAAGAUUUGGUGGAAGUUCUGGUAAAGAUGUAAGUCUUUCACAACUACUAAUGUCUAGCUUUUGUAAUUGAGAAAGUUUUCUGAUACUGACAGGUAUGCUUUCCAGCUUUAAGCAACCGGAAAUCAAAAGGCUCGUUAGAUAUUUCAUUGAACAGAUAUUGCUUGGAAGUCCCUUGAGAAGUUUGCAGUUACGCAUACUCCAGAAGUAAAGUUCAGAGAGAUGCUCAAUAGAUGCAGGCAAUUCUUCUAUGGCAGUUCCAUCCAGACUUAACUCUUCUACACAUCUCGAGAUUUCUGAUUCAGGACAGUAAGCUUCUUGAAACAUUUAAUGGAUGAUGGCACCUGAAGCAAACUUAUGCAGCCUUCAAGAUUGAUACAUUCAAGAUUUAGGGCCUGUGAUAGGUCUGGUAAUCUGAUAAAGUUUCGUGAGUGACUGAG
Manihot esculenta (cassava) is the source of this 1658-nucleotide long non-coding RNA. RefSeq lists it as uncharacterized. Lineage: Eukaryota; Viridiplantae; Streptophyta; Magnoliopsida; Malpighiales; Euphorbiaceae. The record is from RefSeq and is a predicted model, not a curated record. The transcript is spliced from 4 exons.